GGAUAACAUGCCCUAGAGUGGAGGAUAAUCUCGGGAAAUUGAGGAUAAUACUCCAUAAAUCACAGGAUCUGGAACGACCUGUGGUUGAAAGUUCCGGCGCUCUAGGAUUGGUCUGCGGCCUAUCAGGUAGUAGUGGGUGUAAUGGACCCACUAGCCUAUGACGGGUAUGGGCCUUGAGAGAGGGAGCCCAGAGAUGGAUUCUGAGACACGAAUCCAGGCCCUACGGGGCGCAGCAGUCGCGAAAACUUCACAAUGGAGGCAACUCCGAUGAGGGAAUUCCUAGUGCUAACACAUUAGUGUUAGCUUUUCUUUAGCGUAGAUAACUAGAGGAAUAAGGGCUGGGUAAGACGGGUGCCAGCCGCCGCGGUAAUACCCGCAGCCCAAGUGGUGGUCGAUUUUAUUGAGUCUAAAACGUUCGUAGCCGGUUCGAUAAAUCCUUGGGUAAAUCGGAAAGCUUAACUUUCCGACUUCCGAGGAGACUGUUGAACUUGGGACCGGGAGAGGCAAGAGGUACUUGAGGGGUAGGGGUAAAAUCCUGUAAUCCUUUAAGGACCACCGGUGGCGAAGGCGUCUUGCUAGAACGGAUCCGACGGUGAGGGACGAAGCCCUGGGUCGCAAACGGGAUUAGAUACCCCGGUAGUCCAGGGUGUAAACGCUGCAGACUUGGUGUUGGGGACCCUUUGGGGGUGCUCAGUGCCGGAGAGAAGUUGUUAAGUCUGCUACUUGGGGAGUACGUCCGCAAGGAUGAAACUUAAAGGAAUUGGCGGGGGAGCACCGCAACGGGAGGAACGUGCGGUUUAAUUGGAUUCAACACCGGAAAACUCACCAGCAGCGACUGUUACAUGAAAGUCAGGCCGAUGACCUUACUAGAUUUUCA
RNAcentral lists this ribosomal RNA (877 nucleotides) under uncultured archaeon. RNAcentral's name for it is "bacterial SSU rRNA". It matches the Rfam family "Archaeal small subunit ribosomal RNA", at positions 102 to 981 of the family's 1478-position model. The record is from RNAcentral.